CAACAACUGCAGCUCCAACUACAACAACUGCUGCUCCAACUACAACUGCUGCUCCAACCACCACAACUGCAGCUCCAACUACAACAACCGUGGCAACAAUACAAGGUUUGCUACCACUGGUGCAUCUCCAGUUUAGAGUGAAGUCUUUUGGAGUCAGCAAUGAAACCGUUAUUGAUCUUAUUGAAGAGUUUCUGAGAAACCAGCCCAGGUGCAAUGCCCAAGACAGUGAAAGUGACAAGAAUUCAAAGUGUGUCCACUCAACUCCAUCUCUGUGAUCUACCUAAUUACAUAGCAUUGGUUUUCCAGGAGGUUUCAAUCACUCCCAAGAAAUGUCACUGUGGGAUAAGCUGCCAAGCCCGGUAGACUAAUAACUACACAAAAGAGACAAUAUUUUAGAAUCACUACCAUGCUAACCUGAAUGAGCUUCCUUAAACCAAGAGUCUUUUCAGUCAGGCCAUAACAUUCAA
Molecule: long non-coding RNA, 467 nt
Organism: Notolabrus celidotus (New Zealand spotty)
Lineage: Eukaryota; Metazoa; Chordata; Actinopteri; Labriformes; Labridae
Exons: 3
Source: RefSeq, a predicted model, not a curated record